RNAcentral lists this long non-coding RNA (795 nucleotides) under Pan troglodytes (chimpanzee). RNAcentral describes it as "long non-coding RNA NONPTRT001406". The record is from RNAcentral. Lineage: Eukaryota; Metazoa; Chordata; Mammalia; Primates; Hominidae.
CUUGGCGCUGCCGGCGAGUUCUCGGGGCUGUAAAUUACCUUCCGAGGCGGCGGCGCGGCUCCGCCCCCGGCCCCGCCGGUGGUUCAAGUGCAAGAUCGGAGCUGGGAGCGGAGAGGCAACACCCCUGCUCGCACUGCAACCUGCUCCCUUCGGGGAGGGAUCCUCCCCGCUCCAGCUUCUGCUCUCCGGGCUCCGCCAGGCUGGAGGGCAGCAGAGCCAGGAGGAACGGAGACCCAGCGCUGCCCGUUAACAGUCCCGGCAGGAGAGGCAUCGUAAUUACUCACCGCGCUAAUUGCCCGUCAUUAAAGUUCAGGAAACGGUCCGAAGAGGAGCUCCCGAGUCGACGAGGAGGCAGGUGGUGUCUGGGGCUCCCGGCCGGCCAGGGUUAAGCGCUUGCCUGCUCCCUGCCGCCCGGCUUGAGGCCAGCGCGUCUUCAGUGGGGAGGCCAGCCACUGCCAGGGACCCGGGAGCGACGCCGCCAGCCCGGCCGGACCCCCUCCCCCACCACGGCCUCUGGAAGGGGGCAGCAAGUGGGGGUUCCCGGGUACCAAGCCCCCUGCCCAGCCGGCGCCUGGGGGCGCAGAGAGCGAGAGGGGCUGCAGGGACACCGAGAUGGCCGAUGAGAUUGACUGGCUGGACCUGCCCGGCCGGUGGGCCUACGGAGUUGACGGCGGUGGGAGAAUCUUCUUCAUCAAUGAUGAGGAAAAGUCAACCAGCUGGGUGCACCCUGGAACAAAGUCACCCAUCCAGAGUGGACACACCUCCUGCCCAGCGCUUCACCGGACUGGACACCAG